RNAcentral lists this long non-coding RNA (1299 nucleotides) under Bemisia tabaci. RNAcentral's name for it is "lncRNA ENSSSA1NGG002091". Lineage: Eukaryota; Metazoa; Arthropoda; Insecta; Hemiptera; Aleyrodidae. The record is from RNAcentral.
GUCAGCAAUCGCCCGAAUUGGUUGCUCUGUUUCGCGCCCGGUCGGAGUGAUUCCCUCAUGGUUUCAAGUGAUUUUCCUCUCAUUUAAAGUUUUAAGACUCUUAAAACUCUUUUAACAUGUCUCGUUACCUCGUCUGUUAUGCGUGAACUCUUCGUUGUGUGUAAAACUGAUCGCGUGAAGUAAUUAAUCUCUCGAAUUGAGUCCUUCUUUUUCUCGAAGUAACUCGCGGCCGGCGUUUGAGCAAAUUGAAUGAGGGUACGGAUCCUCACAGUUUCCAUCGAUUUUCGUCGUUUCAUAUCGUUUUGUUGUUUUCGGUGUUAAUUUUCGCAGUACGUGUCUUUUGGUACCUCGUGUGUUCCGCGAAAACUUUUCGGCGAUGUAUGAAAACGAUCAUGUGUGUUGUGUUCGGUAAAUUGUCUCUUGAGUUGCACGACGGCCGCCGCAAAUAUUCCUUCUGUUUCACAAAAUUUAUCAACUCAUGUCCGGCGUUUGAGUGAAUCGAAUGCAGGUAUUUGCUACUCGAAAUUUUCACCGAAUUUUAUUUCCAUUGUUUCGGGUGAACCUAUGUGAACUUCUCCAUAAUACCAUGAUUUUCGCGCGGUAUUUUCUGCACUGCUUAGUGACUUUGUCGAGCAGCAUUUCGGGACUCCGAGUGAUGUGACGUUCGUUCCGGUUUCUUGUGUCGGUUGUGCGUGUGAGUAUUUCCUAGCAUUUUUUCGGCCUCGCGUAUGAAGUGUGUCUGCGUCUAUUUCUCAAUCCAAUAUGAUUAAUUUCAUUAAUUAUUGCUACCCACCAUUUGAUGGAGUCGGAUAUCUGGUCAUAGCUUCCUUUGGUGCGUGUAUAUUUUGGCGUUGGUCUGGAUUCAGUAUCCAUCCUAAAAACCUUUUGGUAGCCAAUUUUUCAGUGCGCAGUGCGGUUUCAGUGAUGGUAUCGUGUCGUGAGUGCUUUCAGCUUGGCGUCGGGCUAUUGGAUAACUCUCAUCUGCUCGCUCGGUGAAGGCUCACUACGUCCUUCGAAAUUGGUAAGUCACCUUUUAAAGCUCAUAUCAUCUUUCUCCCAUCUAAAAGCGUAUUUUUUGUUGAAUUGCAAAUAUUUGUUACCAACGGUGUUUCGACUCGCAUGGAUUUCAGUUUCUUUUUGGCCGAGUGGGAAGUUUAUUUAUAAUUAAAUUAUCGGCGGAGGAUAUGCUUCUCGGUAGGUCGCUUCUGGGCAGGGGGGGGGGGGGGGGCGCUCGCCGCCUAAAAAUCCGACCCCCGUCGUCCCCUCUCCCCCCCCCCUACGCGAACUAACGAGAAGCAC